Molecule: long non-coding RNA, 4326 nt
Filed under: Octopus sinensis (East Asian common octopus)
Lineage: Eukaryota; Metazoa; Mollusca; Cephalopoda; Octopoda; Octopodidae
Description: uncharacterized LOC118766546
Source: RNAcentral
UGGUCUGGAGCAACAUGAAGUGAAGUGUCUUGCUCAAGGACACAAUGCACCACCAGGUAUUGAACUCAGAACUUCAUGACCAUGAACUGAACAGCCUAACCACCUAGCCACAUGCCUUCACAGCUUUGAGGAGUAGACUUACUCCCUCACCCUCUUUAACACCACUACCUGCCAUCUUGGGUACCUUUAGUGGACCCCACUUUAUUGUAGGCAUUAAGGCCAAGUCUCUUGUUUGAAGAUUCUUCUCUUCCCCCUGCCCACCAGUCUUGGAGGCCCUGUAAAGGGUGACCCACACACUGCCUUGCCUUCUGACUAAAAGAUUUAAAAAGACAAAAAACUUUGGUGUUUGACACAAAAUGCAAAGCUUUAGCACCAAGAAUUUGGCAAAGACAUGAAAGCCUCUCCUCUCCCUGCUGCCAGUUUUAUCCCAGAGAAUGGCCACUGCUUAUACACUUUGACACCAAACAGCCAAAACAGAUCCUGCAAAUAUUCCAUCUCCUAAUCACUGUGGUAUUCAUUAACCUUGACUGGAUGAAAAGUGAAAUAGACUUCGGCAAGAUUUGAACUCAGAGCUCAUAUAAUAAGAAAAAAUACCACAAGGUAUUUCUCUGAUGCCUUACCAUUUCUGCUAAUUAACGUUGUCUGGUUAUAGAUUCCCAUAUUUUUACUUCAAAUUCUGCUCAGGUCUAUUUUACCAUUUAUCUUUCUGGGAUGAAUGAAAUAAAGUCCCCCCCCCCCGCCCCAAGUAUUCUGAUUUUGUGUUUAUAUUAGAAAUUAUUAUUAUUAUUAUUAUUAUUAUUAUUAUUAUAUUAUUGAAGAUAUCGCUCAGGGUCCAAUAUUGUGAUGUUGGAGAUUGAACAUAUUGUGUGUACCAGGGAUUUGUACUGUGUGCCAAGUCCCAACAGGGACCUCAGACACGCACUACUUUAUUGUAGGAUAUUUCUAAAGUAUCCAAAUGAUGUCUGAACUUUGGUUUCCUUAAGAAAGCUUCUAUUCCAGAUCAUUCUUAUUUUCAGUGAGGUUGACUUAUCUUUUCAUCCUUUUGGGGUUGAUGAAAUAAGUACCACUGGGAUCAAUGAAAUCAAUGAACCCUCUUCUCACAGAUUUCAGGCCUUGUGCCUAUAGUAGAGAUGGUUAUUAUUAUCAUCAUCAUCAUCAUUAUUAUUAUUAAGGCAGUGAGAUGACUUAAUUGUACCUGGAAUUUUAAGGUUAAAAGCAGAGUUUGUUUUUGGACCAAACUAUAAAAAAGACAUUGUGAGCAACAGAUGUCGUCAACCAUUCAUAUAAAAAAUAUACUGAUGCUUUUGCAGAGAAGCUCCAUACUUCGUUGGGUUUGUGAGAAACUGAUGGCGUAACUUUGGAAGAGUUCAUAGGUUUUAUCCCAUGUUUUAAAUCUGUCAUUAUUGUAAAGAUUCAUCAGGCUGGCUGGUCUACCUGAUUUCCUUGCCAUAGAAGUGAUUGAGGUUACAAAACUCCCCUGGAUGGACUGUCAGUCAAUCAUGGGGUUAUCUUCCUUGCUGUUGCUGGAAUUCAUUUAUAGCUGAGUGGAACAUUGUGAAAUGAAGUGUCUUGCUCAAGAACACACUGCUCAGUUCAGGAACUGAAACCUUGACCAUAUGAUUAUGAACACAACACUCUAACCACUGGACCACACAUCUUCACAUUCUGUCACUCUUGCUUGUUUGAGUCUUCACUCUUUGCUCUCCACUCCCAAUCCACUUAAUUAUAAAUAGGUACCAUGAAGAGGUGCAGUAUACAAUUGUAUUCAUUACUGGGCUCUGUGUGUUAUGAGUGAUUAAGUGUUUCAUCAGCUUCUGGUGUUGCUAAUUUUGAAAUCCUUGUGUUAGGUAAAGUAUGAUGAAAAUGACUUUCUUCCUCUCCCAGUGGAGUGAUAUCUCCUUCAACCAUUUCACACCACCUGGUAGAUCUCCAGCGUAUCAAAUAAGCCUCAGAUAUUUUAGAAAAAUGCAUUUUGGUGAUGUGAAGGAAAAAGAACCUGCAGUAGACUAGCUUCCUUUCCAGUGGCGAUGAUGUCACAAUCUAUCAAUCCUUGAAAAUUAUUAGAAAUCCCAAGUAAGAAAAAACAAUUUAUUUCUCUAUAUUUCUAUGACAAGUUAUUACUAGAAUAGUUGAGAAUUAUUAACUUAUUCACCUCAUAUUGUGUGUUUAUAUUUUUCUACAUUGGAUUCCAUUUAAUUCAUAAAUUGUUUCAUUGUUUUUAGGUGGAAAACUAUAUUCCUCCACAUAUAAAUACACAUAUAUACAGGGUGUGGUUGAAAGACCUCCCACAUUUGCUACAUGUAGACUCCAUUUCUACCUAUCUGACUUUCUUAGUACCAUAUCAACUGCUGCAUAAAAGUGUGGGUGAAGUCAAGGCAGCUGGAAACAGAGUCUUCAUGUAGCAAAUGAGGGAGUUUCUUUUUUCCACACCCUGUAUUAAAUAAUAUAUGUACACACACACACAUUUACAUCUAUAUAUAAAUGUAUGUAUAAUAUAUGUAUAUAAUGAUCUUUUGCUUUUUACAUUUGCUAUUUUUUUGGUCUGUUUUAGCACAGCAUCUCACCAUUCAUUGCAGUUCUUCAUCCGCUUUGUGAGACUCACCAUCCAAAGAUCAAGUAUCACUUCUCACCAUGUUUUUUAUGUUCUUCUUCACUAGACUCCUUUCACUUGCCUGGAUUGACAUUUUUUUCACUCACCGAACUAUUGUUCAUUUUACACAUCAUGUCUCCAUUAAUGGCACACUCUUCUCUCUUGCACUUUCUUCUCUUUCAUACACAAAAGCUAAUGCCUCCAUUUCCCAGUUUUUCUCUCACCACACUUCUGCUUUGUUAUUCAGACAUGCAAACAUUUACACAUCCAACAGUGCAAGCUCACCUCAUCUCUUUCCAUCGUUCGCAACAUUCCCCACAUCCAAUGCAUGUACAUAAACAUCAUACAAUAUGCCCUUCACUUAGAGAAUCCCUUUGUUGACAGCAGAGGUAAUAGCUCCCUAAACCUUUUCUACUGAUCUUUACUCUGGCUUUUCCAACAUUCAUCUCCUUUACUAAUUUUGUUGCCUGGUUAACAGAAGCUUUCAACUGCCUCUUACUAGACUUCUAAGCAUUUGAAAAAUCUCCCUUUCUUAGGUUCCAUUACUGCUAAUUAUUGCUGUGUAUUUAUUGUUCCUUACAAAAAUCCUUUUCUGUCAACCUUCCUCAGACCUCACUUCAGUUUUUGUGUAGUAUUGCUAGUGUGUAGUAAUUGCUAUUACAUUAUAGAGUUCCUGCUUGCUUCCUUUUUGCAUAUUGAGUAUGACCAGUUCCUAGUUGAUACUAGUGUUCUGUUUUCUUUUCUGCUAAUGAAGAAUAUCAUCUUUGGUUAAUUGCUCUUCUUUGGCUCUCCUGAUUCUUGAUGUUGCUUCCAUGUUUUUAAUAUUUCUUCUAAUACUUUGACCGAUUUGGUUAUGAGAACCGGAACAUUGACUACAGACAGUCUUGAAACCCUCUUUUAUUGACUGGAGGGAACUGCAAUAAAUAGGAAGCGACUGAGGACUAAGCCCCAAUGGACACCAAUCUGCACACCUUAACGAACGUAUGUCCCAUUCUUACUUUCUUGGUAACACACCUGUACAUGGCAUGCAUUGCUUUUGCAAACUAUUCGACGACACUCAGACAAGGAAGUAUGCUAUUCUACCAGAAGCUCUCUCCAACUCCCUGAUGCUUGCUGGUUUGUAUUUUGACUAAGAACUUCAGUAUUCUUAAAGGAGAAUGGCAAUUCCUCAUCAUAACAGAAAUCCAAACCUACAUCUGGUUUAGCUCUACCAUAACUCUCUCUCUCUCUCUCUCUCUCUCCUACUUUCUUCAUCAAUUUCUUGUUUCUUGGCUGCUUCUUUUAAAGCAUCUCCCUGGCCCUUGCAGCUGUUCACAAUGAUGCCGCUACCCCAGCCAAAGCCAAUCCAUUACUGCACCUGUCUCCACACCCCUUCAUUAACUGUGCAAGUAAUCUGAAUAUCUCUUUUGCCUUUUACUUUUUUCAGUCAUUGAACCAUGGCCAUGCUGGUGUACCACCUGGAAGUGUUUUAGUCAAACAAAUCCCCCCACUGCCUGUACUUGUGUUUUUUUUAAGCCUGAAUAUAAAUAAGGAGGACAUUGCAUGGCAGAGCAUCGGUCUCAACUAAAACCAAACCAAACCUGAAAUUACUCCCCCAUCCCCACCAUGUUAAAAAAUAAUGAUGUCACUAAAAAUGUGAGAAUUGAGGGAAAAAUCUGCAUUUCUGUGAUAAAGCGCAAUGUCUGACCUCCUUUGUAAUAUUUCUUGUCUAUAAAGUUGUUUCUGUCAUUUAAAAA